Labrus bergylta (ballan wrasse) is the source of this 550-nucleotide non-coding RNA. The record is from the annotation of a RefSeq genome assembly. Lineage: Eukaryota; Metazoa; Chordata; Actinopteri; Labriformes; Labridae.
AUGUUUUCUGUAGCUCUGCUGCUGCUGCUGGCAGCUGGAUGUGUGAAGUGCGAACAGUUGACACAGCCAGCCUCUGUGACUGUGCAGCCAGGUCAGAGUCUGACCAUCACCUGUCAGGUCUCUUAUUCUGUUAGCAGCUACUACACAGCCUGGAUCAGACAGCCUGCAGGGAAAGGACUGGAGUGGAUUAUACGAGGUGGUGUGGGAUAUAGCACAUAUACCAAAGAUUCACUGAAGAACCAGUUCAGUAUCAACUUUGACUCUUCCAGCAACACAGUGACUCUGAACGGACUGAAUAUGCAGCCUGCAGACACUGCAGUGUAUUACUGUGCCAGAGAGCCACAGUGAGAGACAAUAACAGGAGAACCAUACAAAAACUCUUCUGACAACAAACACUGAACAAUAAUUUUGUUCAGUGUUUGUUGUCUGUACAUUUGUAUUACUAGUCUUGUACUUUUACAGAAUAUUAUCAAUUUCAUUUCAAAACACAGAGUUAAAGAAUAAUUCAAAGUUGCAAUCCCUUUCAUAUAUAAUAAAAUAUAUCCUCUAA